ACUCCUACGGGAGGCAGCAGUGGGGAAUCUUAGACAAUGGGCGCAAGCCUGAUCUAGCCAUGCCGCGUGUGUGACGAAGGUCUUAGGAUCGUAAAGCACUUUCGCCGGGGAAGAUAAUGACGGUACCCGGUAAAGAAACCCCGGCUAACUCCGUGCCAGCAGCCGCGGUAAUACGGAGGGGGUUAGCGUUGUUCGGAAUUACUGGGCGUAAAGCGCGCGUAGGCGGACUGGAAAGUUGGGGGUGAAAUCCCGGGGCUCAACCUCGGAACUGCCCUCAAAACUAUCAGUCUAGAGUCCGAGAGAGGUGAGUGGAACUCCGAGUGUAGAGGUGAAAUUCGUAGAUAUUCGGAGGAACACCAGUGGCGAAGGCGGCUCACUGGCUCGAUACUGACGCUGAGGUGCGAAAGUGUGGGGGAGCAAACA
RNAcentral lists this ribosomal RNA (423 nucleotides) under uncultured bacterium. Its description in RNAcentral is "bacterial SSU rRNA". It matches the Rfam family "Bacterial small subunit ribosomal RNA", at positions 335 to 774 of the family's 1533-position model. The record is from RNAcentral.